AGAGUUUGAUCCUGGCUCAGGACGAACGCUGGCGGCGUGCCUAACACAUGCAAGUCGAACGGAGAGAUACGAGAGCUUGCUCUUGUAAAUCUUAGUGGCGAACGGGUGAGUAACGCGUAAACAACCUGCCCAACGGAUGGGGACAACAGACGGAAACGACUGCUAAUACCCAAUAGACUCCGGUUUCGCAUGAAACCGACAGGAAAGGUGGCCUCUCGAAGAAGCUACCGCCGCAGGAGGGGUUUGCGUUUGAUUAGUUAGUUGGUGGGGUAACGGCCUACCAAGACGAUGAUCAAUAGCCGGUCUGAGAGGAUGAACGGCCACACUGGAACUGAGACACGGUCCAGACUCCUACGGGAGGCAGCAGUGGGGAAUCUUCCGCAAUGGACGCAAGUCUGACGGAGCAACGCCGCGUGAGUGAAGACGGCCUUCGGGUUGUAAAGCUCUGUUAUUCGGGAAGAACGAUUCGUUUGUAAAUAAUGAACGGAAGUGACGGUACCGAAAGAGAAAGCCACGGCUAACUACGUGCCAGCAGCCGCGGUAAUACGUAGGUGGCAAGCGUUGUCCGGAAUUAUUGGGCGUAAAGAGCGCGUAGGCGGUAUGGUAAGUCUGUCUUAGAAGUGCGGGGCUUAACCCCGUGAGGGGACAGAGACUGUCAUACUGGAGUCUCGGAGAGGAAAGCGGAAUUCCUAGUGUAGCGGUGAAAUGCGUAGAGAUUAGGAAGAACACCGGUGGCGAAGGCGGCUUUCUGGACGAGCACUGACGCUGAGGCGCGAAAGCGUGGGGAGCGAACAGGAUUAGAUACCCUGGUAGUCCACGCC
This 821-nucleotide ribosomal RNA is filed under the name uncultured Veillonellaceae bacterium. RNAcentral's name for it is "bacterial SSU rRNA". It matches the Rfam family "Bacterial small subunit ribosomal RNA", at positions 8 to 801 of the family's 1533-position model. Lineage: Bacteria; Bacillati; Bacillota; Negativicutes; Veillonellales; Veillonellaceae. The record is from RNAcentral.